AUGUUUCUGUCUUGAGAAAGGAUAAGAAACUGUUUUGCUGCUGUUUGUUCGAAACCAACUUUGUUUAAAAUAGCUAAAAGGGGACGCAAGAAGGUAAAUCGGAGCAGGGAGCCGUGUGUAAAAAGUCACUCAAAAGGUGCACAGGGAAUAACUAAGAUCAAGAGAGUGGAGCCAUGAAUCUGAAUGACUUUGUGGUGAUUUCCAACAAGCCCAAGUCAGUCAAGCUCAAUGCCAGGAACCUGCGAGAGCUGCGCAUGGAGACAGUGACGCUGGCCCAGGAGAGUAAAGACAUGGAGGAUCGACUGCAACAACUCAGAGAGAGCAUGAGCCGGGAGAAAGAGGAGAGAGAGUGAGUAACAGAGAGAGAGAGAGAGAGAGCAUGAGCCGGGAGAAAGAGGAGAGAGAGUGAGUAACAGAGAGUGCAUGAGCCAGGAGAAAGAGGAGAGAGAGUGAGUAACAGAGAGAGAGAGAGAGAGAGCAUGAGCUGGGAGAAAGAGGAGAGAGAGUGAGUAACAGAGGGAGAAAGAGGAGAGAGAGUGAGUAACAGAGGGAGAAAGAGUAGAGAGAGUGAGUAACAGAGGGAGAAAGAGGAGAGAGAGUGAGUAACAGAGGGAGAAAGAGUAGAGAGAGUGAGUAACAGAGAGAGAGAGAGAGUGACUGAUAGUUAUGAGAAAGAAAGACAGAAAGCGAGAGACAGUGAUGGAGAACCUGUUAGAAGUGUAGAUA
This is a long non-coding RNA of Oncorhynchus masou masou (cherry salmon), 726 nucleotides long. RefSeq lists it as uncharacterized. Lineage: Eukaryota; Metazoa; Chordata; Actinopteri; Salmoniformes; Salmonidae. The transcript is spliced from 3 exons. The record is from RefSeq and is a predicted model, not a curated record.